This 72-nucleotide transfer RNA is filed under the name Stegodyphus dumicola. RNAcentral describes it as "tRNA-Gly". It matches the Rfam family "tRNA". Rfam says of the family: Transfer RNA (tRNA) molecules are approximately 80 nucleotides in length. Their secondary structure includes four short double-helical elements and three loops (D, anti-codon, and T loops). Lineage: Eukaryota; Metazoa; Arthropoda; Arachnida; Araneae; Eresidae. The record is from RNAcentral.
GCGUCGGUGGUAUAACGGUUAACAUAGCUGCCUUCCAAGCAGUUGACCCGGGUGCGACUCUCGGCCGACGCA